Molecule: long non-coding RNA, 561 nt
Organism: Gossypium raimondii (Peruvian cotton)
Lineage: Eukaryota; Viridiplantae; Streptophyta; Magnoliopsida; Malvales; Malvaceae
Exons: 4
Source: RefSeq, a predicted model, not a curated record
UAUUUCAAUGCUCCUUAUACCACAACAACAACAAUAACCCCCCCCAAUCGUCACCAAUGUCUAGGAACUUAAUGGCUGGGCCGGUCAUAUGGAUUUAGGAAGCAAUCGGAGAUGGAGAGCAUCAACAUUUUCUAAAACAUGACAGAUUGAAGUUAACUCAAUGUAUAAAGAAACCGUUGGUGAAGUGCAGUUGGGGGGAGGGGAAAUGGCAGCAACCUCACUGGUCAGCCCUUUGGUUCAGCAUGCCAGUCCGGUGAGAAGCAGCCUCCACCACGCUGGUUAGCCUCAAAUCAACUGGAGAUUUUUGGUCCGAUUUAAACUAUUACUGGUGAAUUGAGAUACACCGAUGCCAUGAAACUGCUGUAUACCUUAGAGGACGCAACCAAAGGUGUAUCCAUCGCCUAGUGAGCAGUCAACAGCUGACGAUGCUCAAAAGCAAAAGCUGGAUGAUGCCGACAAAAAAAUUACUAUUUUCUUAUUCCAUAAUUCUAUUCCUUUUAGUGCUGCUAAAUCCAUGUAUUUGCAUGUUGAAUUUUAUAUAAGCAAAUUAAGUGAUCAGUU